RNAcentral lists this ribosomal RNA (435 nucleotides) under uncultured Flavobacterium sp. Its description in RNAcentral is "bacterial SSU rRNA". It matches the Rfam family "Bacterial small subunit ribosomal RNA", at positions 358 to 790 of the family's 1533-position model. The record is from RNAcentral. Lineage: Bacteria; Pseudomonadati; Bacteroidota; Flavobacteriia; Flavobacteriales; Flavobacteriaceae.
GGAAUAUUGGACAAUGGGCGCAAGCCUGAUCCAGCCAUGCCGCGUGCAGGAUGACGGUCCUAUGGAUUGUAAACUGCUUUUAUACAGGAAGAAACAGUUCUACGUGUAGAACCUUGACGGUACUGUAAGAAUAAGGAUCGGCUAACUCCGUGCCAGCAGCCGCGGUAAUACGGAGGAUCCAAGCGUUAUCCGGAAUCAUUGGGUUUAAAGGGUCCGUAGGCGGUUUAAUAAGUCAGUGGUGAAAGCCCAUCGCUCAACGGUGGAACGGCCAUUGAUACUGUUAGACUUGAAUUAUUAGGAAGUAACUAGAAUAUGUAGUGUAGCGGUGAAAUGCUUAGAGAUUACAUGGAAUACCAAUUGCGAAGGCAGGUUACUACUAAUUGAUUGACGCUGAUGGACGAAAGCGUGGGUAGCGAACAGGAUUAGAUACCCUGG